RNAcentral lists this transfer RNA (69 nucleotides) under Marmota monax (woodchuck). RNAcentral describes it as "tRNA.Ala". The record is from RNAcentral. Lineage: Eukaryota; Metazoa; Chordata; Mammalia; Rodentia; Sciuridae.
GGGCUGUAGCUCAGUUGGUAGAGUGCUUGCCUUGCAUGCUCAAGGCCCUGGGUUUAAUCCCCAGCUCCA